UCAAACUUGGUCAUUUAGAGGAAGUAAAAGUCGUAACAAGGUUUCCGUAGGUGAACCUGCGGAAGGAUCAUUAACGAGUUUUGAAGUGGGUUUGAUGCUGGCCUUCCCAGGCAUGUGCUCGCCCUACUCUUCAUCCACUCACACCUGUGCACCUAUAAAUGCUAAGAGAUUUAUCCCCUAGACCUUGUCAGGGGUGCGUUCAAAGGAGACUUUGAACGUUGGGUUGAAUCUUUUGCGUUUAACUUUUCUAUAAACUCUUGAAUGUUAUAGAAUGUUUAUGGCCUACGGGCUUGUAUAAACUAAAAUACAACUUUCAACAACGGAUCUCUUGGCUCUCGCAUCGAUGAAGAACGCAGC
This 357-nucleotide unclassified non-coding RNA is filed under the name uncultured fungus. RNAcentral describes it as "partial contains small subunit ribosomal RNA, internal transcribed spacer 1, and 5.8S ribosomal RNA". The stretch from base 1 to 73 matches the Rfam family "Eukaryotic small subunit ribosomal RNA", at positions 1759 to 1831 of the family's 1831-position model. Lineage: Eukaryota; Fungi. The record is from RNAcentral.